UACAGAGGUCUCAAGCGUUGUUCGAUUCAUUGGGCGUAAAGGGUGCGUAGGUGGCGGGGUAAGUCAGGUGUGAAAUUUCGGAGCUUAACUCCGAACUGCAUUUGAUACUGCCUUGCUUGAGGACUGGAGAGGAGACUGGAAUUCACGGUGUAGCAGUGAAAUGCGUAGAUAUCGUAAGGAAGACCAGUGGCGAAGGCGGGAUCU
This 204-nucleotide ribosomal RNA is filed under the name uncultured bacterium. RNAcentral describes it as "partial 16S ribosomal RNA". It matches the Rfam family "Bacterial small subunit ribosomal RNA", at positions 524 to 728 of the family's 1533-position model. The record is from RNAcentral.